Molecule: ribosomal RNA, 274 nt
Filed under: uncultured bacterium
Lineage: Bacteria
Description: partial 16S ribosomal RNA
Rfam family: Bacterial small subunit ribosomal RNA
Source: RNAcentral
AUACGGAGGGUGCAAGCGUUGUUCGGAAUCAUUGGGCGUAAAGGGCGCGCAGGCGGUUUGGUAAGUCAGAUGUGAUAGCCCACGGCUCAACCGUGGAAGUGCAUUUGAAGCUGUCAGACUUGAGUACUAGAGGGGAAAGUGGAAUUCCCGGUGUAGAGGUGAAAUUCGUAGAUAUCGGGAGGAAUACCGGUGGCGAAGGCGACUUUCUGGCUAGAUACUGACGCUGAGGCGCGAAAGCGUGGGGAGCAAACAGGAUUAGAAACCCGGGUAGUCC